Molecule: ribosomal RNA, 439 nt
Filed under: uncultured bacterium
Lineage: Bacteria
Description: partial 16S ribosomal RNA
Rfam family: Bacterial small subunit ribosomal RNA
Source: RNAcentral
CCUACGGGCGACAGCAGUGAGGAAUAUUGGUCAAUGGGCGAAAGCCUGAUGCAGCCACGUCGCGUGAGCGAUGAAGGCCUUGGGGUCCUAAAGCUCUGUCCUCAAGGGAGAUGAUGUCCGGACUUGAGGGGGCCGCCCCGGCUAACUACGUGCCAGCAGCCGCGGUACUACGUAGGGGGCUAGCGUUAUCCGGAAUUACUGGGUGUAAAGGGUGCGUAGGUGGUUUCUUAAGUCAGAGGUGAAAGGCUAGGGCUCAACCGUCGGAAGCCGUUGAAACUGGGGACCUUGAGUGCAGGAGAGGAGAGUGGAAUGCGUGGUGUAGCGGUGAAAUGCGUAGAUAUUAGGAGGAACACCAGUUGCGAAGGCGGCUCUCCGGAGUGCAACUGACACUGAGGCACGAAAGUGCGGGGAGCAAACAGGAUUAGAUACCCUAGUAGUC